Molecule: small RNA, 126 nt
Filed under: Marmota monax (woodchuck)
Lineage: Eukaryota; Metazoa; Chordata; Mammalia; Rodentia; Sciuridae
Source: RNAcentral
GCCAGGCAUGGUGGCGCAUGCCUGUAAUCCCAGUGGCUGGGGAGGCUGAGGCAGGAGGAUCAGGAGUUCAAAGCCAGACUCGGCAACUUAGCAAGGCCAUAACAACUUAGUGAGACCCUGUCUCAA